This is a long non-coding RNA of Lepidothrix coronata (blue-crowned manakin), 472 nucleotides long. RefSeq lists it as uncharacterized. The record is from RefSeq and is a predicted model, not a curated record. Lineage: Eukaryota; Metazoa; Chordata; Aves; Passeriformes; Pipridae. The transcript is spliced from 3 exons.
AAACGUUGUAACAUUGCUGUGAGUUAUUUCACAAACAUUGAUGAAAAACUAUUCCAGCAAAACAAAAAAUACGGAAACUUUAUAACAUGAAAACUUGAUUCCAAAGUAAUUCCUGCAGGAACAGAAACCUCCACCUCUGCCUCAUAAGUCACCUCCUUCCCAGUGAUCUCAGAGCACUUGGAGCAGCACAGCACAUUUCAGACACCAGAAACUCCUGAAUGUAGAAGCAAACUCAGAGCCAACACAUUUUACUACACAAAAGUUUACCAUGAACAGAAAUGUAAUUUGCAUGUUCUAUUUCCCUGGGUUUAUUCUAUUUCAUAAUGAAAAGCCUUCAACCCCAGGUAAAAAAAGUGAAGACAGAAAGCAGACUGUAAAUAACUGCCAAGUCAAAGAAACAUUAGAAACCAGAGCAAUAAAAAAUGAAAAAAUGAAGGUUUUUCUAGCUUGUAACAUUUGCAAGGUAACGAAC